This 98-nucleotide microRNA precursor is filed under the name Marmota monax (woodchuck). The record is from RNAcentral. Lineage: Eukaryota; Metazoa; Chordata; Mammalia; Rodentia; Sciuridae.
AAAUCAGUCAUGGAAUCUUGUUAGAAAGCAGAUUCAGCAUUGCAGGUCUGGGGCAGGCCUGAGACUCUGAAUUUCUAAAAGCUCCAGGUGAUGCUCAU